This 160-nucleotide ribosomal RNA is filed under the name Plasmodium malariae. The stretch from base 1 to 140 matches the Rfam family "5.8S ribosomal RNA". Rfam says of the family: 5.8S ribosomal RNA (5.8S rRNA) is a component of the large subunit of the eukaryotic ribosome. It is transcribed by RNA polymerase I as part of the 45S precursor that also contains 18S and 28S rRNA. Lineage: Eukaryota; Apicomplexa; Aconoidasida; Haemosporida; Plasmodiidae. The record is from RNAcentral.
CAGUCUUAACGAUGGAUGUCUUGGUUCCUACAGCGAUGAAGGCCACAGCAAAAUGUGAUAUGCAAUGAAAAAUGCAAUAACUGUGAAUCAUCGGAACGCUGAAUGUAAACAAAACUAAUUCAUGAAAUAUUUGAAUGUAGUAUACUCCUAUUUUUAUUAG